CUUAGACAGGGAGUAUAUCAGAAUAUACUAAUAAUAUCCUUACUACAAGGAGUUAACUUGCCUGAGCAUACAAUGAUGCUCCUAUUUAAACUGGACUUCAUUAUUGACAGGGUUAUUCCCUGGAGUCCCUACAGCCUUGUACCAAACAAGGUGAAAUCAUUCAGCUGCAUGUGGGGCCAUUCAGACCCCAAAUUCACGCUACUCAACAAUUCAGGCUCCAAACAAAUUGUAAUCUUUAGGCUACGUUUGGUCCGAGUAAAAGUCAGACCCAAAUGAUUCAAAUCCAGGUCUGGAUUUUUAAACCAUCCACACUAUUUGACUGCUGGCAGCUCUAGUAGCCAGCGGGCAAACUGUUAAAAACUAUCAGCAGUGUGAAGGUUAAUUAUGUGACUGCUACUUGCUAGUCUUGCUAGUCAGCUGCGCCUGCUACAUAAAAUAGUUAAAUAAGUUAAUUAAUGUAUAUAUAUAAAAAGCCUAUAGUGGUCAAUAGGAACCCCAUAUUAAUAUAAGGGAGGUUUAAAAUCUCACAAAGAACAGACAUGAAGAUAUAACAGGUACUACACACAAAUUUAAG
Non-coding RNA from Pelobates cultripes (western spadefoot toad), 574 nucleotides. The record is from the annotation of a GenBank genome assembly. NCBI's taxonomy places the organism in Eukaryota, Metazoa, Chordata, Amphibia, Anura, Pelobatidae.